This 445-nucleotide ribosomal RNA is filed under the name uncultured soil bacterium. Its description in RNAcentral is "bacterial SSU rRNA". It matches the Rfam family "Bacterial small subunit ribosomal RNA", at positions 94 to 577 of the family's 1533-position model. The record is from RNAcentral.
CAUGGCAGACGGGUGAGUAACGCGUAGGGAAUCUACCUCUUUGUGGGGAAUAACGCUCCGAAAGGAGUGGCAAUACCGCAUGAGACCAGUGGGAUGAAACCUGGACAAGGAGAGGAUCCUGCGUCUGAUUAGCUAGUUGGCGGGGUAAUGGCCCACCAAGGCGACGAUCAGUAGCCGGCCUGAGAGGGUGAUCGGCCACACUGGAACUGAGACACGGUCCAGACUCCUACGGGAGGCAGCAGUGGGGAAUUUUGCGCAAUGGGCGAAAGCCUGACGCAGCAACGCCGCGUGGGUGAUGAAGGUCUUCGGACUGUAAAACCCUGUCGUCAGGGACGAAUGACGGUACCUGGAGAGGAAGCCCCGGCUAACUCUGUGCCAGCAGACGCGGUAAUACAGAGGGGGCAAGCGUUAUUCGGACUUAUUGGGCGUAAAGGGCGCGUAGGCG